CAGCCGCCACGGUAAUACGAAGGGGGCUAGCGUUGUUCGGAUUUACUGGGCGUAAAGCGCACGUAGGCGGAUCCUUAAGUCAGAGGUGAAAUCCCAAGGCUCAACCUUGGAACUGCCUUUGAUACUGGGGAUCUCGAGUUCGGGAGAGGUGAGUGGAAUUUCCGGUGUAGCGGUGAAAUGCGUAGAUAUCGGAAGGAACACCUGUGGCGAAAGCGGCUCACUGGACCAUUUCUGACGCUGAUGCACGAAAGCUAGGGGAGCAAACAGGAUUAGAGACCCCCGUAGUCCCUGUCUCUUAUAA
Molecule: ribosomal RNA, 301 nt
Filed under: uncultured bacterium
Lineage: Bacteria
Description: partial 16S ribosomal RNA
Rfam family: Bacterial small subunit ribosomal RNA
Source: RNAcentral